This 253-nucleotide ribosomal RNA is filed under the name uncultured bacterium. Its description in RNAcentral is "partial 16S ribosomal RNA". It matches the Rfam family "Bacterial small subunit ribosomal RNA", at positions 524 to 776 of the family's 1533-position model. The record is from RNAcentral.
UACAGAGGUUGCAAGCGUUGUUCGGAUUUAUUGGGUGUAAAGGGUGUGUAGGUGGUUGUGUAAGUCAGAUGUGAAAUCCUGGAGCUUAACUCCAGAACUGCAUUUGAUACUGCUCAGCUAGAGUAUGUUAUGGGAAAGGGGAAUUCUCGGUGUAAUGGUGAAAUAUUCAGAUAUCGAGAGGAACACCAGUGGCGAAGGCGCCUUUCUGGGACAAUACUGACACUGAAACACGAAAGCUAGGGGAGCAAACGGG